GAGCUCUUUGUCACGAAGUGUCGUGGUUAAGGCUGUUUCCAGUAAGUCAGCCAUUGCAUCCUCCGGAUUGGAGGGUUUGGCCUUUUGAAUCUUAGUCAUAUACUGAGGUAUCAGCUGACUAGUCAAGUUUGCCAACACUGUGUGUAUGUCCCUCAGGGGGUCUCCCUGGCUGGACUCUUUUGUGUUAGGCAUGUUUGGUUUUGGUAAAGAGGUGCAGCUGGUUGGUUGAUGAGUUUGAGUUGACUUAAAAUAAAAGGAAGAAGCAAAAUAUCAAACUAAGUGGGUUAAUCGACUUAAUUUAUCAGUGCUUGAUAAAGAGAAAGAGCCUAUCUGAGUAGAUCUCUAAUGGAGAGAAAAAUAACAUAAAGUUAAAUUCAUUUCAAUGAAAAUUGAAAACAAAAGGUGAAAUAAUGUUAAAUUAAAUUUAACAUCAGAUACAGAACCAUUGAAUAAAGGGUUCAAAUUGUCUCUGUGUUGCAGAGAUCAGCAAAGCUUAAAUAAAAUGCCUGAUGCAGUUGGAUGAAUUUGAAAAAUCAAUGAAAUUGUCAAUUUAAGGAAUUAACUCUGAAGUCAAUUCACAAAUUGCAAUAAAUCCAAAGGUUCAACUACCAAAUCCAUCUGGAGUGUUAAAAGAAAUUUCAAAUAUUAAUUAAUUUGUUCAUUAAUUAAUUAAUCUUAUGAGGAGGGUUAAUACAUUCAUGUAUUAUAGGGAACAGUAAAACUGCUCAAUGGUGUGAUAAGUAACAACAGGAUCAGGUGAUUGAUUCAAGGAGUUACUUCAUCAAUACCUUAUGGAGGCUCUUAUAACAAAGAUAAAAAUCAAAAAUCAAUGAUCAAUGAUUUAGAAUAAGCACAUCAAACUUCAUCAACCAAGUCAAUCACUUGAAUUAUGUCUGUAGAGUGUUACACACUGACUACAGGGAGGCAGUACAGCUGGCUGAUACUGCAGGCAGAUAAUAGCAGUGUUAGCUCAAUACCAAAAGCAACCAUGUGGGGCAGUAUGGAGUUGGGGUAACUGCACAAGCUCAACACAAGUGGAGAAGAAGAAGAAAAGAGGAAACAGUCAUCCAACUAGCCUCUUGUGGCUGUGAGGAGUUGGGAAGUGUGCAAGGAAGGGGCCUUUAGGCUCUGCCUCCUUGAAGGGCCUUAUCUGCUUAAGGCCAAAUGGUCAAUCUCUCCACUGACAACAAAGGGUUAACAUUUCACAGCAGGCUGCGUCUGCACCCUCAAACAUAGAACUUUACACCAUCUGCUCAGGCCGAUUGGUUCAAUAAAAUCAUUUACAGGAACAAGGAUCAAAGUGGCAAAUCCUUAAACAGCAGAUUCAACUGCAGACUUAAAAAAAAUCACAAAUGCGGCGAUUUGUGAUCACGGAUUUUGUCUGAAUUCAUUCAAACAACAGCCUCCCACUGUUACAGUGGUUUCCUGUGACAGGUAGUUAAUCUGUCAGGGGAAAGGAGGAAAUCUGAAUCCCAUACUGUAUAGUUACUAGAACUUCGUAGCAGACGAUAGAGACAAGAAUCAAAGUGACAAAUCCCUCAACAGCAGAUUCAACUGCAGACUUUAAAAUCACAAAUGUGGCGAUUUGUGAUCACAAAUUUUGUCUGAAUUCAAUCAAACAACAACCUCCCACUGUUACAGUGGUUUCCUGUGACAGGUAGCUAAUCUGUCAGGGGAAAGGAGGAAAUCUGAAUCCCAUAUAGUUACUAGAACCUCGUAGCAGACUACAGAGACUUCAGGGGCUUGAAACCACAGCUCGGAGCAUCGCGAACACUGGGUUCAGCCAAAGGCCUUAAAUACAAGCGUACGGCGACGCAACAAUCGUGCACUUAAAUAUUGGACAGUCUAGACAGAGCAGAGGAGUCAGUCUCACUGCUACUCAGAACAACAUUUCACGCUGUCCAGCUCAAACACAGACUACAGGCAUGUAGUACAAAAGUGUGUGAAACACAGAGCAUAAAGGUUUUAUGCAUAGAUCAGGAAAACAUCAGAACUUAGUCAAGCAACUUCAGCAAGCAUAGCAUUGAUUGUGAUUAAGUCUAAAAUAGCCUGGAAAUAAGUUUCUCUCAUCAAUUUGGAAGGCUAAGUUUUAGGUUGUCUGUUAGUAUCCAGAAGUUUUGUUUGAAACGCCUCACACGGGGCACCAAAAUAUAUGUAGUGAUUUGAAAUGAGCCUCACAAGGCCGCACCAAAAUAUAUGUAGCGAUUUGAAAUGAGCCUCACAAGGCCGCACCAAAAUAAUACUUGGCGAUUGGAAUUUAUAAUAAAUGUCUGAAGAUUAAUAAUCUCAAAUUAUGACAUUUAUGCACUCGUUGAAAGGGGCACCACCCACCCUUAAUGGUGGGAAAAUAAAGAAAACAAAAGUUUAAUUCAGAAAUCAAACAUCAAGUCAGUUUUAAUUAAUCAGUCUUAAUUAAUCAGUCUUAAUUAAUCAGUCUCAUAUCUUAAGUCGAAAUUCUAAUUUCAGGGACUCCACUUCUGGAAGAACACUAACAGACAGGAACUUAGAAAAAUAAUGAUCUGUUUAUUACAGGAUAAAUGAUGGUACAACACACAUGCAAUAAAUGAUGAUAAGAUAAUGAAGAUAGAUAAUAAUAGGUGAAUAAAUAAAGAUUCUGAGUCAGGCUAGGAGCACUAAAGUUAAUGAUAGUGAGUGAAUAUGCGCUAACAUAUUAACCUACACUAACUUUGGUGUCGAGAUAAACUCGAGUGUAGAUUUGGAGGAAUCUAAGAUCACCAGAAAUAGGUGGAUAUCUGAGUUAUGAACGCGUGAGACAGCAUCAGCCCUGUCUGGAGCUCUGGAGGUUUGCAUACUUAAGUGAGACUGGUCCUUGGAGAAGAUGGAGCAGGUUCCGAAGGUCCGGGGCUACUGGCGGUUCGAGCGGUUCAGCUCAGAAGACGACUGAAGUCAGCCGAAGGAUGAGCCAGGAGUUGCAGCACUCGGGCCCGAAGCAAAGCCAGCGCCUGUGGAUCCUGUGGAUGCUCGUUUGGGUACUUCUUUGGUCUCACUCAAAAACUCUGGCACAGAGGAUGACCUGGGCCUGCUGGGUUGCGUUCAGAGGUGACUUUUAAAUCACGCAGAAAACUCAGAAAAACGAGGCUCGAAGAGCAGAGAAAACUUUCAAAAAUGGCUUUGCAAAAUUAAAGAAAAAUCAAUCAAAGGCUUAAUCUUGAAUUGCUAUGCGCACAAAAAGUUGAAGUUUCAAAACUUGAACUAAGACGAUGUUAAAGAAAAAUCAACGUGAAUCAACACGUGGCGUAAAACUUAGAAGACUAAGAAAAAGUUCUAAGAGAAAACAAAGAAACGCACCACAGAAGGGUGUGGACAGAAGAAAAGGGGCAUAAGAGCCGGGGACAAGAGAGUCAGCAGAAGAGCAGAAGCAUAAGAGAGGACAAGAGCAUAAGAGGAAUAAGAGAGAAUAAGCGAGUGAGCAACCCCACUUCACUGGUUUUAUCUUCUCACACUGGGUGUGUCUGAGGAGAAAGAGGAGGGGUCAUCGGGUCUCUGAUUAUUUGAUCUAACUUAUUCUUUUGGCUGGUAAAAGAGUCAGAUCUGAUACUCACUCACUAUGAUUAAUAUCAUUGAAUGCUUGGUUUCAUGAUAAAUAAUUUGAUACUAAACACAUAUGAAUGAAGUGUAGGAUCACAUCAAACAUUCUCAUUAUGUUUUAAGUAUCACAUUGAACAUGCUAAAUUACUCUGAAAUGAAACAGAUAGUAACACAUAGAAACUGUGAACGACAAAAGAGUAAACACAUGUGAAUGAACGUCAUCAUGAUUAAUAAUGGAUUCUAAAUACUCACAUUCAGAUUAUUCAGUGACAUUAUAACCACCUAAUGGUUAAGAUACUAAAUAAAUAACUAAAAUAUAAACCAAACAUUUCUAAACUAUUUCUGUUACUUAGAGUAAACUUAGGAUUCAUAGUCAAUAAAUUUAACUCUUAAAAGUUCAUGAAACAGUCUGAAAAGCUGUUGGUCUAAAGAACUAAAGAAUAAGGAUUUAUUCUGUCAGAUAAGAUAACUUGGCUUCUGUAGCACAUAGAAAAACGGGAAACAUCUCAUUUUAACACAAAUUUCAUGAUUAGACAGAUUAGUACAUUGCUGAAUGCAUAAGAUGUCAUGAUCAGUCAUUUGUAUUCUUUCACCAAAGGAAUGCAGUCUUUAUCAGUGUAUGGUCGAGCAGGGUUUUACGACCGAGGUCUGGAGGUCAGUGUCCCCCCUUAUCCUGGGGUCCGUAUGUUCACACACUUUAAGACGCUUAAUCUCAAAUGGGAGAUCUGGGUUAAGGUUAAUGUUUAUUUAGAUGGUCAGCAAAUGGAGUCAGUUUGAAAGGUAAUAAAAACUCUGUCUCUGUUCGCCGAACUGACCAAUCCUGAAGAGUCAGAGGUUUAGUCAACCUCCGGUUGGGUCACUUAUUUAACCUGAAAGGGCAAACACGUCUGGAAAGAUUUAUAUCCUGUUUCCUGGGACCAGAUAAGGAAACUUUCCUGUAAGGAAUGUGUGGGUUUCACAUCCAGGGUUGUCUUGAUUGCUACAGUCCCCCCUUCGUCACGGUGGUCCUGUCCAUGGAGCAUCGGGACGACGAGUAGACAACCAUGAAGCAGCAGCAGGUGUAUGCAAAUAGGACUGAUGCGUCUCGUCAUCACUAUGUGAAUCACUAGUACUGCUUUGAGAUAAAAUUAAGCAUGCAUUAAGCUAUCAAAUAAAAUAGUCUUGUUGUUAGACUUUUCUCAGUUAACUAUUGGUAGACUAAUGUGAAAGAAAAUCUCCUAAUUUUCAGUAUUAAUGAGAUUUAGGAAAGCACUAUUUAGUCUGAAUGCUAACUGGAUCUAAAGCUAUAGCUGUUUUUCAUGCUUGCUGGAGAAGUCUGAAAGUUCCAUUUCAGUUUCAAAAAUGGUUAAGACUUAGGUGGAAAAGAAAUGUCUGCUAUAGACAUAUUAACCAUCUGUGUAUGAGCAUAGUCAACCUGAAUCACAAACAUCAAAAGUUUACUGCACAGAGUUUCUCUUAAACUUUGUCUGUUAAACUUGGGGAUGAUGCUCUUAUUGGUUUGACUAAUUAUCUGCUGUUGAGUCUGAAAUUUGUCAAUCUGAGUCUUAGUGACAGAAAUUUCAGGUUUUCAUCUGUUCAUGGGAUAUUUGACAGCUGACAAGCUGACCAUAUUGACAGAGGAGAGACAAAUGCUAACAAAGAAAGCAGCAACUGGUAUUGCAGUCAUCAAUGUAUCACCACAGCAUUUGGAUAUCUUAUUGGAGUCAUUUAGCUUUGGCUGGGUGACUUCUGCUUUCGCAGGACUCACACCUUCAUGACUCCGCAGUGUUAAUCUCAGUGGUUAGCUGAGUAGUCAUGUUUAUUCACCUUCAAAGUGGAUGAAACCGAUUGAGGUGGAUAAUAAGAUCGUCGUUUCUGAGAGUGUGAUUUACUCUGAUUCUGCCAGUCAUUCACCCCACUUUGGCGGUGUUGAUGGUUUUUCCUUUGUCUGGGACAAAACCCACCGUGACGGGAGUCUGAAUAACAACAGUUGGUCUCAAAGUUUACCUGGCGUUGGUCUGUGUCAGAACUGGGCCUUGGUGUGUAACUUUGACCUUUGUGAGUGUGUUGAGGUCGAAAAGGUUUUGGAGGCCUGGUUAACCACUCAUUUGGAGGCUUAUCGGAGCCUGAAAAAACACAGUCUGAAGCUUCGUUCAGCUCCAUGGGCAGUGAUUUUGUCCCCAUAGCCAAGAGAGUAACGGGCUCUGCUUUCUUAGCCAAAGUUUGUCGUUGUUUGGCAAAACCUUUUACAGCAAGUUCACGAAGCUGUCGGCUAGUCAAAGUGUUUGGACAAGCUAAGACGCCAAGGUGAUGACUGGUGGUAGGGUGGAGGUUCUGGACGAACAGCGUUUUGAAGUUCAAGUCCUCCUCCAUUUCUGGUUCAUUUCGGAAACCAAAGUAAGCUUCGCGUAAGCGGUUGUAAUACUGUUGGGGAGAUUCUGAUCUCCCUUGUUUAAUAGACAGAGCAGCAGAGAGGCCUGUCUGGGUCAAAUAGUCAGAAAACUCUUCGAUUAAUGCUUGGCAGAGCAAGUCAUAAUUAUUUCUGACAUGAUAAGGCUGUCGUUCAAGGAAACUGCUAACCUCUCGACUUGACGUCGCCUUAAUAAGGUAGAUUUUGUCAUCAAUGGUUGCACCUGGAAAUUUCCUCAGGUAAAAGUCAAUGUCUUUCAAGUAGGUGCAGGUGUCAAUAGCACCUUGGUGCUCAGGUUCAAAGCGUGCUAUGAUGCGAGCAAUUUUGUCAAGAUCCCUGUCUGAGGGAAAUGGUAAGAAGCCAUCAUGAGGAGGAGAGUAGGACUCUUGGUUUAAGGAUAACCUCUCAGGGUCAAGCAGGGUCCUGUCAUGAUGCUGAGAGAGAUACUUAAGAGUUGGUUUGGAAGGAAGUGAUGGCGCUCUCUCAGGAGGCUGAUCACCUAUCAUUUCUUCAAGAAACGUUUGCUUCAUGCGUUCUCUUUGGGCUCGACCUGACUGGAGGGAGCAUCGUAACUCUCUUUGGGCAUCUUCAAGUUCUUUAUCUGUCUUUUCUUGCCGUUCUUGACAAAGAAUUAACUGUCUUUGAGCUAUCUGGAGCUGGUGCUGUAAGGUAGAAGUUUGCUUCUCCUUAACUUCAAGAGCUUCAGCACGCACUUUGACCAGUGCUUUCAAAGCUUUUACAUCUUCUGUUGCUUGCUCUAGUAGGGAUUCUGACUGUAUCAGAUCCUCUGUGGUCUUAGCAAGCUGCUUAUUCAUGUCAUCAAGUUCUUUCUCCUUUUUGUAAAGGGUUUCAUUAAGUCUUUCAAUCUUGUCUUUAAGAUCAAGAUUUUCUUCAUGACUUAUCAGUGAGGGAAGCUUUGACGCUUCACAUCUGGCACUGUGUUUUUCUAAAACACUUAAAGACUUCUUAGUCUCCUCUAGCGUCUUUUUCAGAGCGCUGUUUUCAUCUUUUUGCGCCUUUAUCUUUGCUAAAGCGCAUUCCAGCAAGUAGUCUUUAUACUCAAGCUGAGAAGACAUCAUGACAGACAUGCAUCUAGUGAGCUCUUUGUCACGAAGUGUCGUGGUUAAGGCUGUUUCCAGUAAGUCAGCCAUUUCAUCCUCCGGAUUGGAGGGUUUGGCCUUUUGAAUCUUAGUCAUGUACUGAGGUAUCAACUGACUAGUCAAGUUUGCCAACACUGUGUGUAUGUCCCUCAGGGGGUCUCCCUGGCUGGACUCUUUUGUGUUAGGCAUGUUUGGUUUUGGUAAAGAGGUGCAGCUGGUUGGUUGAUGAGUUUGAGUUGACUUAAAAUAAAAGGAAGAAGCAAAAUAUCAAACUAAGUGGGUUAAUCGACUUAAUUUAUCAGUGCUUGAUAAAGAGAAAGAGCCUAUCUGAGUAGAUCUCUAAUGGAGAGAAAAAUAACAUAAAGUUAAAUUCAUUUCAAUGAAAAUUGAAAACAAAAGGUG
This 7440-nucleotide long non-coding RNA is filed under the name Xyrichtys novacula (pearly razorfish). Lineage: Eukaryota; Metazoa; Chordata; Actinopteri; Labriformes; Labridae. The record is from RNAcentral.